GCCGGGCGUGGUGGAGCACGCCUGUAGUCCCAGCUACUCCGGAGGCUGAGGCAGGAGAAUUGCUUGAGUCCAGGCGUUCUGGGGCAGUAGUGCGCUAUGCCUAUCAGGUGUCGGCAGUAAGUUCGGCAUCAAUAUGGUGACCUCCCGGGAUCAGAAGCGGGGGACCACCAGGUUGCCUAAGGAGGGGAUGAACUGGCCCAGGUCGGAAACCGAGCAGGUCAAAACUCGUGUGCUGAUGAAGUGAACUUUUAGUGAAAGGCAACCAGAAGCCCCUAAAAGGCAGAAAA
RNAcentral lists this signal recognition particle RNA (287 nucleotides) under Nannospalax galili (Upper Galilee mountains blind mole rat). RNAcentral describes it as "Metazoan signal recognition particle RNA (ENSNGAG00000006648.1)". It matches the Rfam family "Metazoan signal recognition particle RNA". Rfam says of the family: The signal recognition particle (SRP) is a universally conserved ribonucleoprotein. It is involved in the co-translational targeting of proteins to membranes. Lineage: Eukaryota; Metazoa; Chordata; Mammalia; Rodentia; Spalacidae. The record is from Rfam by way of RNAcentral.